Molecule: ribosomal RNA, 915 nt
Filed under: gut metagenome
Description: bacterial SSU rRNA
Rfam family: Bacterial small subunit ribosomal RNA
Source: RNAcentral
AGAGUUUGAUCCUGGCUCAGAACGAACGCUGGCGGCACGCUUUAAGCAUGCAAGUCGUGGGGCAACAGUGUAGCAAUACAGCUGGCGACCGGCGCACGGGUGAGUAACACGUAAGGAUCUGCCUAUAGGUCACGAAUAGCUAAUGGAAACAUUUGGUAAUGCGUGAUGGUACCGAGAGGUUAAAGCUAAGCAAUUAGUGCCUAUAGAUGAACUUGCGGUUCAUUAGCUAGUUGGUGGGGUAAGAGCCUACCAAGGCGACGAUGGAUAGCCGGCCUGAGAGGGUGAACGGCCACAAUGGAACUGAGACACGGUCCAUACUCCUACGGGAGGCAGCAGCUAGGAAUCUUCCGCAAUGGGCGCGAGCCUGACGGAGCGAUGCCGCGUGAACGAAGAAGGCAGAAAUGUUGUAAAGUUCUUUUAUAAGGGAAGAAUAAUGGUGCAGGCAAUGGCAUACAGAUGACGGUACCUUAUGAAUAAGCUUCGGCUAACUACGUGCCAGCAGCCGCGGUAAUACGUAGGAAGCGAGCGUUGUUCGGAAUUAUUGGGCGUAAAGGGCAUGUAGGCUGUUGAAUAAGUGUGGAUUUAAAGGCCGGGGCUUAACCCCGAGUUUGGUUUGCAAACUGUUCAACUAGAGUUCAGAAGGGGAGAUUGGAAUUCCGCGUGUAGGGGUGAAAUCUGUAGAUAUGCGGAAGAAUACCGGUGGCGAAGGCGAAUCUCUGGUCUGCGACAGACGCUGAAAUGCGAAAGUGUGGGUAUCAAACAGGAUUAGAUACCCUGGUAGUCCACACAGUAAACGUUGUACACUAGGUGUUAGAGAAGUUAUUUUCCAGUGCCGAAGCAAACGCGUUAAGUGUACCGCCUGGGGAGUAUGCCCGCAAGGGUGAAACUCAAAGGAAUUGACGGGGGCCCGCACAA